UACACAAAAUAUAGUUCGUUAGAGUUUUAUCGAAUAAAUAAUUAGGAACAAUAUCUAAGAGAAUAUAAAAUAUAGAUGUUUAAUUUAGAAUGUUUAAAACAGACGAAACAGGUGUAAAAUAAAGGUCAUUUUGAGCGUAAAGUCAACUGAAAUGAAGACUAGAAGAGCGGAGUAUACUACAUCCGUGAUGUGAUUUGGUCGCAAUCAGCGAUGGAGAAACUGGCGUUAGUCUAGCCUACUAAGUUGAAAACGCAAUUGUUGAACACAGAUUUCGACAGAAAUUCAAAGGAUCUGAAAGAAUUGAUGGAGGAUAUGAUGGGUCAUGUUAAAGCUUAGCUCUUAGUCAGGUUUUUGGAUUGAAACAACGGCAUGUUCAUCGUUAGGACUCGCGGUUGUACUAGCCAUGUUCAGUUGGAGACGCUCCGAGACAGUAGGACAGAUUUAGACGAAAUGCAGGAUUUUAAUGAAGACUCGCACCGGUACCUUGACAUGAACAUAAUUGUUCGAGCCUCGAAACCGGCCUCGCUUAUGAUCAUGCCAGGAAACAGCAGGUCAUAGCCGUGAUGGCAGUUGCCAGGAAACAACAGGUUUACUUAUCAUCAUCAUAAAGUAAAUAGGCUUAUAACUCUGCCUACAUUUUUUCGCUUCCAAUAUCUCAGUUAUUUUAUGAAUUCGCCAUGCAGAAGUUGCAGUUUAGGCAUACAAUUUUGCAGACGGUAUUUAAAACUGUUUAAAGUGAAACAACUGAACGAUAUGUUUAAUGUUUCUGUAUUAUGAAUUGAUGAAAUUCUUGUUUGUUUACAAAAUAAACUCUGUAUAAAUAUC
Long non-coding RNA from Ostrea edulis (European flat oyster), 825 nucleotides. RefSeq lists it as uncharacterized. The record is from RefSeq and is a predicted model, not a curated record. The transcript is spliced from 2 exons. Lineage: Eukaryota; Metazoa; Mollusca; Bivalvia; Ostreida; Ostreidae.